CCGGUCCGUAGGUGAACCUGCGGAAGGAUCAUUA
RNAcentral lists this ribosomal RNA (34 nucleotides) under Psathyrella cf. gracilis UBC F14297. RNAcentral's name for it is "partial 18S ribosomal RNA". The record is from RNAcentral. Lineage: Eukaryota; Fungi; Basidiomycota; Agaricomycetes; Agaricales; Psathyrellaceae.